Molecule: ribosomal RNA, 253 nt
Filed under: uncultured bacterium
Lineage: Bacteria
Description: partial 16S ribosomal RNA
Rfam family: Bacterial small subunit ribosomal RNA
Source: RNAcentral
GACAGAGGGGGCAAGCGUUGCUCGGAAUCACUGGGCGUAAAGGGCGCGUAGGCGGGACGCCAAGUCGGUCGUGAAAUCUCCGGGCUCAACCCGGAGGAGUCGGCCGAAACUGGUGUUCUUGAGGGAGGCAGAGGAGUCUGGAAUUCCGGGUGUAGUGGUGAAAUGCGUAGAGAUCCGGAGGAAUACCAGUGGCGAAGGCGGCACGCUGGGCCAUAACUGACGCUAAGACUCGAAAGCAUGGGUAGCGAACGGG